This is a long non-coding RNA of Marmota flaviventris (yellow-bellied marmot), 1108 nucleotides long. RefSeq lists it as uncharacterized. Lineage: Eukaryota; Metazoa; Chordata; Mammalia; Rodentia; Sciuridae. The record is from RefSeq and is a predicted model, not a curated record.
UGACUGAGCCCUGGGCGGCGUUUCCGGAGACAGGCCCGGAGUGGGCUGCUGACGCACUUGCUGCCCCCCAGCAGGCCCGAUCACACACACGUCACCAUUUGCCUAACUCGUGGACAAGGAGACCAGUAAGGUGACUAGAGGAAUGGAGUGACGAACACCAGAGAAUGAACGCGGUGUCCCUUGUCCUCACACGCCGGGCCUGUUGACAACACUCCAAUCUGACGUGGGAAAGUCCUGCUGUCCUUUCUGCCCAUUUCCAAGUUUCAGAACCACCCUGGCUCCUGCUGCCGUCAAGGUGAAGGCCCACAUUUCUAGAUGCCCUCGGACCUGGUACCAAGCGCCUCGGGCAUGUGCUGUCCCUGGUCCCCGCCUCCUGGUCCUGCCACAGCCCAGGGAGCAGCUUCCCCUCCCGCACCCCACGCCCAGCCCCCAGCACGUGCUCUCUCCUGCGAACAGUGAGCAGGCAGCGGCUGUGACAGGCCCGAAGCAGCAGAGACCCGGAUGUGGCCACUGCCUAGCUGUGUGACCCAAGAAUGGAGGAAACCCUGGUGGAAUCCCGCUGUCCUUUCCCAGGACUCAAGACGUCCAUCUGUCCCCUGGAAAUGCUCCCAGUAGGCCACUCUGGAGAUCUGAUAGAGCUUUUAUUGCUAAGUGUGAAUGAGCCAGUGCAGAGGAGCCCAGGGCUGGGGUCUAGGUCACUCUCCUCUCUCACUGUGUGGCCUUGGACAAGUACCUUACCCUCUCUGGGCCUCCUUCUUCAAGGGAUCCCUCCACCUCCAACAGACAAGGCUCCUUUGUGUCCCUAACAUAGUACAGGUCUGGGACUGCCUUGGAGAUAUAGUAUGGACCCCAUUGUCCCCUGCUCUGAGGACCUGGGCUCCCGAGCCCCAUGCUGGAGCCCCUUCCUACAGGGCCCUGUGUCUCGGGCUGCCACAGUGGAGGUACCCGAGACCCCUGAUUGGCCCACCUGGGCUCCAGAAGCUCCUAAGUCCACCCCAGGAGGCAGCUCUGCUCUCCCAAGUGUUCUGCGAACUACAAUACCUCGGAAGGAAGCCAACGUUUAGUGAAGACAUUGACCUUGUCAAAAAAAAUAAAAACAAAGCCCGUA